This 863-nucleotide ribosomal RNA is filed under the name uncultured bacterium. Its description in RNAcentral is "bacterial SSU rRNA". It matches the Rfam family "Bacterial small subunit ribosomal RNA", at positions 50 to 919 of the family's 1533-position model. The record is from RNAcentral.
UAUACAUGCAGUCGAACGAGAUUAAGGUGCUUGCACCUUAUGAAAGUGGCGCACGGGUGCGUAACGCGUAUGCAACCUACCUUAAUCAGGGGGAUAGCCCGAAGAAAUUCGGAUUAACACCGCAUAAAAUCACAGGACAGCAUUGUCCAAUGAUCAAAUAUUUAUAGGAUUAAGAUGGGCAUGCGUGUCAUUAGCUAGUUGGCGGGGUAACGGCCCACCAAGGCGACGAUGACUAGGGGAUCUGAGAGGAUGGCCCCCCACACUGGUACUGAGACACGGACCAGACUCCUACGGGAGGCAGCAGUAAGGAAUAUUGGUCAAUGGAGGGAACUCUGAACCAGCCAUGCCGCGUGCAGGAAGACAGCCCUCUGGGUCGUAAACUGCUUUUAUUCGGGAAUAAACCUACUUACGUGUAAGUAGCUGAAUGUACCGAAGGAAUAAGGAUCGGCUAACUCCGUGCCAGCAGCCGCGGUAAUACGGAGGAUCCAAGCGUUAUCCGGAUUUAUUGGGUUUAAAGGGUGCGUAGGCGGCUUAUUAAGUCAGGGGUGAAAGACGGUGGCUCAACCAUCGCAGUGCCCUUGAUACUGAUGAGCUUGAAUACACUAGAGGUAGGCGGAAUGUGACAAGUAGCGGUGAAAUGCAUAGAUAUGUCACAGAACACCGAUUGCGAAGGCAGCUUACUAUGGUGUGAUUGACGCUGAGGCACGAAAGCGUGGGGAUCAAACAGGAUUAGAUACCCUGGUAGUCCACGCCCUAACGAUGAAUACUCGCUGUUAGCGAUAUACAGUUAGCGGCUAAGCGAAAGCGUUAAGUAUUCCACCUGGGGAGUACGCCCGCAGGUGAAACUCAAAGGAUGACGGGGC